Molecule: ribosomal RNA, 241 nt
Filed under: uncultured Staphylococcus sp.
Lineage: Bacteria; Bacillati; Bacillota; Bacilli; Caryophanales; Staphylococcaceae
Description: partial 16S ribosomal RNA
Rfam family: Bacterial small subunit ribosomal RNA
Source: RNAcentral
CGGACGGGUGAGUAACACGUGGAUAACCUACCUAUAAGACUGGGAUAACUUCGGGAAACCGGAGCUAAUACCGGAUAAUAUUUUGAACCGCAUGGUUCAAAAGUGAAAGACGGUCUUGCUGUCACUUAUAGAUGGAUCCUCGCUGCAUUAGCUAGUUGGUAAGGUAACGGCUUACCAAGGCAACGAUGCAUAGCCGACCUGAGAGGGUGAUCGGCCACACUGGAACUGAGACACGGUCCAG